UACGUAGGGUGCGAGCGUUGUCCGGAAUUAUUGGGCGUAAAGAGCUUGUAGGCGGUCUGUCGCGUCUGCUGUGAAAAUCCAGGGCUCAACCCUGGACCUGCGUUCGAUACGGGCAGACUAGAGUUCGGUAGGGGAGACUGGAAUUCCUGGUGUAGCGGUGAAAUGCGCAGAUAUCAGGAGGAACACCGGUGGCGAAAGCAGCUCUCUGGGACGGUACUGACGCUGAGACGCGAAAGCGUGGGGAGCGAACAGG
RNAcentral lists this ribosomal RNA (253 nucleotides) under uncultured bacterium. RNAcentral's name for it is "partial 16S ribosomal RNA". It matches the Rfam family "Bacterial small subunit ribosomal RNA", at positions 524 to 776 of the family's 1533-position model. The record is from RNAcentral.